AUAAGAUAGAGCCAUACUGCAGGUUGUUUCAGGUCCUAAAUAAGCACGGACACUUAAAAAAUCUGUUGGGCAGGCGGAUUUGCAUCGCUUACAACCCACACAAUCUUCGGUUCUCGGCGCAGAAGCAAUUUGCUUGGAUUUACAUCCAUCCCAAGGUAUCAUUUCUAAUACAUCUGAUGGACAAGCUCGUACACAUUGAGUGCAUCCUAUACAUGUAUCAUAAAUUUUUACGGAAUGUGACAUUGGAUCUAUAAAUUUCCCUUUUCAACAUAAAAAUUUUCGAUCUGGUAAAAAUGAAAUUAGUACUAUAUCAAUCAAAUGUAUUGUAGACACCAGACGAAGCAAUGGUUUAUCCAAACUUGAACAAAUAAUGCAAUAUAUUUCUUAAUCCGUUUGUGAGAAAGCGUGAAAAGAGCCAAGACACUUGAAUUUUGGGCUUCAACAAUCAUAAUUAUACGAAUUGUAUAUACGAAUUCGAAUUUGCCAAUAAAUUGGCUAUCGUCUUUUCCAUAUAAAUUAUUGCAAUAUUCAAAUUGCAAUAUCAAUGAAUUGCAAAAAUUCAACUAAGUAAAAAGGAUACUAUGGAAUAACCUACUCAAAAAAAGGAUAUUCUCAAAUAAUAAUAAGAAAAUAGUAUUCAUUUCUAUUCAUCUUAAUAUUUCAUAUUAUUAUUAUAUGUGUCCCUUUGUUUAGAAGAUUCUAUGUCUAAUUAUUCAAAAAAUUAGAUUGAUUGAUACGAGUUGAUUUCCUGUUACGGUGGAUGGAAGAAAGAAUGGAUAAUCCAAUAGCUGCUUCAGCAGCCGCAAGGGCUAUAACAAAAAUUGCGAAAAUGUCUCCUUUUAAUUGGCGACUAUCAAAUAGAUCAGAAAAUGUUACGAGAUUUAGAUUAAUUGAAUUCAGUAUAAGUUCAAGGCAUAUUAGAGCUCUAACCAUGUUUCGGCUUGUGAUCAAGCCAUAGAUACCAAUCGAAAAUAAAUAGACACUCAAAAAAAGUACAUGCUCAAACAUCAUUAACUAACUCCUUAUCAAUCUCGAUUCAUUUCAAUAUGAGGACAAGAAUUGAACCGAUUGAAUUAAUUAGAAUAGAACAAUUACACAACAAAAGAGAAAAGAAGGUAUUUGUUGGCAGUAGAUAGGUUUUACUAAAUCAAAAUUGUGGUUCUUUAGUUAUUUAUUUUAGAUUUGCAAUUCUAAGAAUUUAGACUCAUUCUAAGUAUUUCUUAUUGCCGAGCCAUAGUAAUUGCACCUAUUAAAGAAACUAGAAGAAUUAUGGAAAUGAGUUCAAAUGGAAGAUAAAAAUCGGUUGCUAAAUGAAUCCCAAUUUGUUGAACGUUAUUUAUGAGACCUUGUUCUACUAUUUGGUUUGAUCUUGUAGUCCAAAGAAUUCCAUACCACGACGUAUCUGGGAUAGUAGUCAUUAGUGAAAAAGGAAUAGUUAUACAAACGAGUGAAGUGAAUCCAUCUCCAAUAGUCCAAAAAUUCUUAUCUUUAGACCAUUCUGAGCCAUUUACGAACAUUACGGCAAAUAUGAUCAAGACAUUUAUAGCUCCCACAUAAAUAAGAAGUUGUGCCACAGCUACAAAGUAGGAAUUCAAUAAAAUAUAGAAUAAGGAUAUACAAACAAGAACUAAUCCUAGCGAAAAAGCAGAAAAAGUUGGGUUGGUAAGUAAUACCACCCCUAGACCCCCUAGUAGAAGAACAAAUCCCCCAAAUAGCACAAGAAUUUCAUGUAUUGGCCCAGGUAAAUCCAUUAUGGAUAAGAAGAAAUUAAUAGUAUAAAAUUUUUCAUGAACUGACUAAAACUAAAAGAUUCAAGGAAGAAAAAGGGAUUAGGAUAUUUUUUUGUAUAUUGUAUAUUAAGUUCUUUCUUUUUGUAUAUUGUAUAUAAGUUCUUUCUUUUCUUUUUCUAUAGUUAGAAAUCACAUCACGAAAAUCUACUUUGAUUUUAAAUCAGGAAUAAUUUGCAAUAAGCAGUAGGUAUUCGUUUUUCUUUCUAGGCAGUAGGUAUUCGUUUUUCUUUCUAGGCAGUAGGUAUUCGUUUUUCUUUCUAGGCAGUAGGUAUUCGUUUUUCUUUCUAGGCAGUAGGUAUUCGUUUUUCUUUCUAGGCAGUAGGUAUUCGUUUUUCUUUCUAGGCAGUAGGUAUUCGUUUUUCUUUCUAGGCAGUAGGUAUUCGUUUUUCUUUCUAGGCAGUAGGUAUUCGUUUUUCUUUCUAGGCAGUAGGUAUUCGUUUUUCUUUCUAGGCAGUAGGUAUUCGUUUUUCUUUCUAGGCAGUAGGUAUUCGUUUUUCUUUCUAGGCAGUAGGUAUUCGUUUUUCUUUCUAGGCAGUAGGUAUUCGUUUUUCUUUCUAGGCAGUAGGUAUUCGUUUUUCUUUCUAGUUAGUAAAGAACUUUUGGAAUCUAACAAAAAAAUUCUAGUAACUAGUAAUCAGUAAUCGUUCUUGAAUUCCAAGAUUUUUCUUCGUCUAUUUUACUUUGAGUUGAAUUCCUAAUUGUUUGAAUUGUGUAAUCUCCCAUUAUGGAGAUUGGUAACCGACUCAAAGCAAUUUGAUUGUAAUUCAAUUCAUGACGAUCAUAAGUAGAAAGUUCAUAUUCUUCAGUCAUUGAUAAACAGUUUGUCGGACAGUACUCAACACAAUUACCACAAAAUAUACAAACUCCGAAAUCAAUACUAUAAUUAAGCAAUUGUUUCCUUUUAAUAUCCUUUUCAAAUCUCCAAUCCACAAGGGGUAGAUCUAUAGGGCAUACGCGAACACAUACUUCACAAGCAAUACAUUUAUCAAAUUCAAAGUGGAUUCGCCCCCGGAAACGCUCCGAUGUAAUUGAUUUUUCAUAGGGGUAGUGAAUCGUUAUAGGUAAACGAUUUGUGUGGGAUAAGGUAA
This 2878-nucleotide long non-coding RNA is filed under the name Oryza brachyantha (malo sina). Its description in RNAcentral is "long non-coding RNA (OBRA_LNC003418)". The record is from RNAcentral. Lineage: Eukaryota; Viridiplantae; Streptophyta; Magnoliopsida; Poales; Poaceae.